RNAcentral lists this unclassified non-coding RNA (240 nucleotides) under soil metagenome. RNAcentral describes it as "partial contains 5.8S ribosomal RNA, internal transcribed spacer 2, and large subunit ribosomal RNA". The record is from RNAcentral.
AAGACUAUAGACCUGCGGAGUACCUGCGGAAGGAUCAUUAUCGUAUUGUAACAAUUGGGGGGGCCACCGUGGGCUGUCGCUGACCCUUUGAAAGGGGGUCGUGCACGCCCCCAUAGUGUCAUCCUCAUACAAUCCAACUCACCUCUGUGCAUCACCGCGUGGGUUCCUUUCUGGGUCGAGUCAGACUGGCUCAGAAAAAAGGGGCUUGCGUUUUCCAUACAAAUACCCUUAUAAAUCCAG